RNAcentral lists this transfer RNA (58 nucleotides) under Modiolus modiolus (northern horsemussel). RNAcentral's name for it is "tRNA-Ser". Lineage: Eukaryota; Metazoa; Mollusca; Bivalvia; Mytilida; Modiolidae. The record is from RNAcentral.
GUCAAUUUUUAUUUGUUUUGAAAGCAAUGUGCUAAGUAGUCAAACCUACUUAUUGGCU